AGCUCCGAGGUGUCAUCACAUCAGAUUGCAAAUCUGAAGUAGCAGGUUAGACGCCUGCCGGGGCUUCCCCC
RNAcentral lists this transfer RNA (71 nucleotides) under Solivomer arenidens. RNAcentral describes it as "tRNA-Cys". It matches the Rfam family "tRNA". From Rfam's summary of the family: Transfer RNA (tRNA) molecules are approximately 80 nucleotides in length. Their secondary structure includes four short double-helical elements and three loops (D, anti-codon, and T loops). The record is from RNAcentral. Lineage: Eukaryota; Metazoa; Chordata; Actinopteri; Myctophiformes; Neoscopelidae.